CAAAAACGAACAAAAAAAAAAAGAGAAAAGGAAAAGAAAAAGAAAGGAAAGGAAGGAAGGAAAAGACGUCACACUUUCUUUCGUUUCUGUUCUUCUCGGUUAUCUCUCGCACACACAUUCUUUUCUUCUUCUUCUUUC
Molecule: non-coding RNA, 138 nt
Filed under: Chloropicon mariensis
Lineage: Eukaryota; Viridiplantae; Chlorophyta; Chloropicophyceae; Chloropicales; Chloropicaceae
Source: RNAcentral